This 299-nucleotide small nuclear RNA is filed under the name Prolemur simus (greater bamboo lemur). Its description in RNAcentral is "7SK RNA (ENSPSMG00000011736.1)". It matches the Rfam family "7SK RNA". From Rfam's summary of the family: 7SK was discovered as an abundant small nuclear RNA in the mid-70s but a possible function has only recently been suggested. Two independent studies have found that 7SK RNA binds the CDK9/cyclin T complex (known as elongation factor P-TEFb). The record is from Rfam by way of RNAcentral. Lineage: Eukaryota; Metazoa; Chordata; Mammalia; Primates; Lemuridae.
GGAUGUGAGGGCGAUCUGGCUGCGACAUCUGUCACCCCAUUGAUCACCAGGGUUGAUUCGGCUGAUCUGGCUGGCUAGGCGGGUGUCCCCUUCCUCCCUCACCGCUCCAGGUGCAUCCCUCCUGAAGCUGGGCGCGCUCCGUGGAAAAGGAUGACCUUCCCCGACAGAGGAGGACCGUUCUUCGGUCAAGGGUAUAAGAAUAGCUGCGCUCCCCUGCUAGAACCUCCAAACAAGCUCUCAAGAAGUGUGAAAAUCCAAAGCAGUAUAAAACCAAACAAAACCAUACCAAAACAGAUCAU